GAUUGACAGUCGGUAAUUGGGUAACUGGAGGCGGCUUCUCCGGCCGGGCGGCCCCGCCACCGCGACGCCGGGCCCCUGACGUCACCCGAUUCGCCAGGAAAUGAACUUUUUAAUAAUCCGAGGAGGGAGGAAAGCCCUCGGUCCCCUCGGUUCGGGGGGCUCCCGGCCAGGCCCAGCUCCGCGGGCGCGCCCCAGUCACCCUCUCCCAGGCCAGCUCUGGGCAGCUCCGGGGGUGCCGGCACGGGCCAGGGGCCUCCUCCUGCCUCUGCGUCCGGCUGUCCGUUCAUCUGUCCGAGGCCCUGGCGCAGCUUACGAUUCUUCAUCAUCGCGUAAAAUGCGAUCGUCAGAGCCUCGAACGUGUUUGGCGUCCCUGGAGCCCAGCGAGAGCUUAUCAAAGACACCGCGGCCCCGGGGACAAUCCCCGGUGUCGGGCAAGGCUGCCCCGUCAGCCUGAACCCCGGGACCCAGCGCAGGAGGCAGCCAGCCGCUCGCCGGUCGCGGGGCCUUGAACGCCGGAGCCGAGCGGAAGCUUUCCAUGGGGCUGCGAUCUGCGUCUUGUCUCGCAGGGACGUGGCCGCUCCGGCCCUCGGGAAAACAGGUAAUUCGCUUUAUUUCCCCCAAAGGCGUGGUUCAAAUGACCCCCAUCCUGGGUGGGCCUGCAGUUUCAUCAUUCCGAACUCGGCUAAAAGCUCCUCCGGGGCAACCUGAAGCCUCUCCGGGGCAGCGUCUGGGCCACCGCAGGAGUGGAGGUGACCAUCCUGGCCGGGCCCCCUCCCUGAACAGCAGCCCCGAGCUGCCCGCUGGCCUGGCGCAGAACCGAGCGCGGGCAGGGAUUUAAUUACCCCGCUCGGCGGCUCAGAAAAUCGCAGCGCAGAGGAGCUUAGCAGGGCAGUUAAGCAAUGCUUGAGCAGGGGCCUCGGGAGAUCCGCACCAGUCUCCCUUCCCGCAAUCGGGGUCUAGAGAAAAGGGGAGGAGGGAGCUCCCCCAGGUCUCUUGAGGCCCCCCCGGGGUUGCCUUCCUCCAAAAGGCAGGCAGGCAGCCGGCUUGUCGGAGGCCUCCACUAUGAUUUGAGCUCCUGCGUUGGACGCGGGACUGCUGCGUUCUCCCGGAGGAACGAACCCGCCUGGGAGAGAAAAGAGGGGCGCCAGGCAGGAGAAGGCCCAGCUGGUCGGUAAAACAACCCCCACUCCAAUCAUGAGUGUACGUGUAUGCCAGACAAACCAAGGGACACUACCCGGGCAUCUUGCCCAGUAGGCAACGGAGACCAUCCUAUCACCUGUACCCAGACAAACGUGGGGGGAGGAUCAGGGUGGCCCCCCAAAUCGGCUGGGAUUGCGGGGGCAUCCUUGAGCCUGAGAAGAGCAGAUUUAUUUCAGUUUACAGCCUCGGGAUUACGGGUCUCCGGAACACCUUCAGAGGGACGCGUUCCCUUCUUCAUGUUUUUGUUCGUUUCCAAGGGUUGUUGCUUAUGCGGGUGCUGCCUUUUGAUCGCACCGAGAAGCUGUCAUUUUCCUUACAUAAGAACAAGACUUCAGGAAGCACUGAGGAAGGGCAGCAGAGAAACUGAAUUUUCUAACUGCCUUUUCCAAGCGACCUGAGAUUCCCCGAGAAAGCAUGGGUCAUCGGUGCGGCUCAGGAUGCUUUCUCCGGGGAGCUGGCAGCGCAGGGAUCCGGAGGCCCGGUUCUACGGGGCCUCACCGGCCUGGGCCGUGGCUCUCAGCUGCCCGGUCUUCCUCGUUCUACAUGGCCCUCCCCUCCACGCCCUUUGUUUAAACUUCCGUCAUCCAAGGUAGCCCCUCUGGAACCAUAAGUUUGCCCUCUCUUUGUAACCUAAUUCUUCCCACCUUUUCCUAUGGGCAUCGAAUUGGCCUGCAGUGGAGGGGAGAUUCAAAGAAACCAGUUUGCUUAGGGGCUGCCUUCCAUAGGGAUAUUUAAUUGUCAAUCCAGCGACCUCCCAGCCCUACGCUGGCAAUGUGCCUUGAGGGGUACUGAGGAGGAAGUGGGGGCCGCUUUAGCCAGAGGGGUUCAGAAGUCCCCAAAGGGCAAGGCCUCAGAUCUGCUCAGGCCUGCAGCCAUCCCUCCAGAGGGGUUCUGCAAUGGAGGGUCCAGGCUCCAACACCCCCUUCUGCUCGUUGGGGUUCACUUCCAGUCCCCCAAAUGUGAAGGCUCCCUCUCCUGUGGCCUCCAUGAAGAUUCUCCCACCCCUUACGUCUUUUGGGCCUUUUCGAAUCGUAAAACCCGGGGCCCACGAUCGAGAAGUCUUGGCGCCCUGGGUCGAGGCGCCUGGGAGAUCCCGUAUCUCCUUAUCAGGUUCCACCUCCAACCCGCACAGCCUCCCCCAUGGGCCCUGCUGAGACCUGCAGCAAUCAAGCAGCGUUUUUCCGUGCUUCACCAACAGCCACGGUUUACUCAGAGCGCCUGGCGGCCGGGCGGCCCGGCGGCCCGGCAGCAUGACAACUGGUAAAUCCGUUUCGUUAGACGCAAUUUGUUUGCAAUUUGUCAACCCGGCUGGGAAACGCUCUCCAGACGCCUGGGCAGCCGCCCUGGCCCUACCUGCUUCUCGAAUUCUGCCUACUCAUAAACGAAUCCCAUCGCUAGGUGCCCGUGUAGACCCGGAGCUCACCGCCAGAUGUUCCCGAUCCCCGGGAGACGUAGCUUUUUCCAAAACAACGAAUUUCCUUCCGUGUUUUCCGGGAAAGGAGCGGCCGCCACUCCCGGGGGCCCUGAACGCCGGAUCUUUCCCCUCGCGGUUGGGGCAACCUGGAGUUCAAGCCUGGCUGCCGCCGAAGGAUUCUAAAUGCCCGGCGUCCAGGCAGACCGAGAACGCCGUCUACGCCUCCCGGAGGCAGAUCCCGGAGCCCGCGGCGGCCCCAUUCUUAUUGAAAUCCCACUAAACAGAUUCCGACUCCGGCUUGGGGCUGGGGGGAGACUUCCAGACCCGGCGCUCUCCCCCACCCGCACCCCAGCCACACAGGAUAAAGGGCCGCGGGGCGCGGCGCCCGGGGGCGCACGCAGGAGCGAGCCGGGUUAAGCCGCGCAAAGCCGGCGCACGGGACCAGUCGGCAGGUGCAGCCGCGGCUCGGCUGCCGGGCUUGGGCGCCUCGGCUGCCGGGCUUGGGCGCCUCCGCCGCCGUGGCCCGGAGGUGGGGGCGGCCGAGACAAAGACCCCAGCUCGGGGGCCGGGAGGUGGGGCGCUUUGCGAGGCACUGGGAAUAACCGGGGCUCGCGGCCUAUGUAUGGCUGCAUCCGAGAAAUGGGAAAGCGGGAGGCCGGACGCGGGCCUGCUGUCCUCAACUCCGCAAAUACUCCCUCAGGAUUAGGCCCCUAUGACCUGGGGUUCGAGCCGCUGGUAGGACCAGGGCGAACCCCGAAGGCCACAUGUCAGGGGCCACUGGGCUAGGCGGACCGCGUUUAGGGGGCCCAAACCUGGGGGCUGGAAGGGCCCUGGCCAGGCGGAGGUGGGGGGACUUACCGAGCGAGGUGCGGCGGGCUGCGCCCCCGGGUGGACGGGGCCGGAGCGGAGCGGGGCGCACAGCGCGGUGCGUGGCUAGGUGGGCCCACAGGACCCGGCGCGGGCUGGCGGCGUUCACCAGCAGGGCCGGGGCGGCGCGCCGAGUGGCCGCAUGGUGAGCGGCGGGCCGCUUUUGUUCGCCCGGUGGCCGACGGGGGCCGGCUGGGGUGGGGGCGAAGGCAGCCAGGAGAUAGAGGCUUGAGCAGCGAGCCCGGGCGGCGCUGGCCUUGUUACCUCCCUCUCGCUCCCGCUGCCUCUCCCUCCCCUCCCCCGGCCGCAGUGGCCGCUGCUUUUUAUUUCGACAGCACUUUGAGGGGGCGGGAGCGCCGCAGGGGGGCAGGGGGGUGCCCAGAGCUCUGCGCCCCGUUUCCCUGGUCCAGCCGCGGGACGGCAGGCCGAGGGCCGGUGGGCACUCAAGGCGCAACACCCUACUCGCCCAUACUCCAGACUACUCCCGCCCUUGCAGGGGCACACAAAUGAGCACCCCUGCGCUCAAGGGUGUAUGUUCAGAAAGUCCGGGACCUCUCUUUUUGGAGACUCUCCCCGGGGACCCUCACGAACCGUGGCCACAAGCGCCCACACACAUACACAGCCGCCUGCUCCUCCUCCAACCUUCUUCCAACAGUGCUCACGCAGACACACAUCUGUGCACACGCGUUAGUGCACACAGUUGGGGCUGCGUGGACAUCCUCAGCCGGGAGAUGUGGGUCACAUUGGCAUGCAUACGUGCACACACCCAAAUGUAGCUUGAGAAUCUGGCACGCGCAGCAUGCACGCUCGAGCACACACACACACCCCUCACUUCCAGGCUGACUCGGCUAGAUGUAGACAUAUGGCCUCUCCCUUCCCCAUCUAUACCCCCAUUCGAAUUCCCCAACUCCAGAGCAGACCAGAGCAUUUCAGGAGUGGGGUGUGAGGCUUCUCCUUGACCAUCCCCAAGGAACCCUCUCACAGGAGGGGGCUAGGGAGUAGAGGGUUUGUCUUUGGAAGGCUAGGCAGAGGAGUUGGGUGUGGGAGUCUUCUGGGCAAGAAUGCUUUCGGGUUUGUGAGCUAGGGGAAUAUAGUCCUUGAACUUCCAAAGUUCCUACCUCAAAAUUCAACUCCACAGUGCAGGGGUGGAGGGCUGGUCCCAUACCAGCUGCCCUGGGGGAGUCAAAGUGGCCUGGGGGAUCUUGGGCCCAAAGAGAAAGUGCUUUGCUUUGGAAGGACUGGGAAAACUAGUGUGUGUCCCAGAGUGUCCAGCCCCCCAUCUCUCUGGGCAUCUUCUAUCUGUGGGUCUUUCUUUGAAGCUGAUAGUGACUGUGUUGCAUAUGUAUUUGCUGUGUGCACGCAGGAGAAUAUCUAUCCUGAGCGCCCCUGUGUGUCUGUGUGCAUUUGUGAGCGCAUGGAAAGUCUGCAAAACUGAGUAUAUUAGUAUGCCCAUUUCUUCUUGUGGGUCCCUGAGAGUUUGUAUAUUGAGAGUCUGUGUUUUGUGGGUUCCUGAGAGUUUGUAUAUUAUGUGUGGCUGUUUCGGAGCAUGACUCCCGGAGUGCAUGUGGGAGAGUGUCUCUGUGGAACUGGGAUGUGUGUCCCUGUGGCUGUGUAUCUGUGUGAUCAUUGUGUCCAUGAAUCAUUUGAUGGGAAAUGAGUAUUUCCAAGUGUUUAUUUAUAAAUUGGUGUGUGUCCCUAUGUGGGUCGGUAGCAGUGUGUGUCUGGGUAUCCUGUGUCUAUGAAUUGGGGUGUGUGUGCAUGGUGUGUGUGUGUCUGUCUUUACCAGCACUGGGUAUUGGGUGUGUAUCAUUGUAUCUUUGAGCUGAUUGUGGACAGUGUAGAGUGUAGCCAAGUGUGUCUGCAUAUCUGGGUAUAGCUGUAGGUAUGAACUGAUAUGUGUUGGGCUGGGUGUUUAUGUCUGUUUACCUAGGGUGUGGGUAUCUGUGUGUAUGAAUUAUCUUUGAACUAUGUGUGUUUCUCUACCCAGUAUUACCCUGUGUCUGUUGUCUGGGGAAGUGUGUGUCUCUGGGUGACACACAAUAUGUGUGUCUUCCCAGAUCACCCAUCAUCCCUAACUGGCAGGGCAGGCGGCCAGUGGAGCUCCGGGGUGCCAUUUGCGAGGGUACUUUCUGUCUGUCUGUGGGAGGGGGCGAUGAGCUGAUAAGGCUUAUCUGCCGAAGCCAGCGCCAUGCUGAAUAACCGCUCUAAUGAGGUGGCCUUGCUGGGACCACCCGCUCCCAAGGCCCCCAGCCUCACUGGGGAGGGGCAUGGGGGAGCCAGUGCUGGGGCACAAGGGCAAAUCCCCAUGAACCCAGCAGGGCCUGAAUGUCUACUGGGCCUUUUUUAGUUCGGUCUUGUUUCUUCAGAGGGGGGUUCGAGGUCUUACACCCCCACCCCACCUGCCAUCUCUCUGCUGGGCUGGGCUGGGCUGGGCUGGCCAGAGCCUCCCAGCCUCUGGUCUGCAGUCAGGAACACAGCCUUAAGAGGGUAGGGGGAGUGAGGCCCACUGAUGCAGGGUGGGGGGGACCCUUGGGUGGGGGUAGAUUGAGAGACAUGGAGGCCCAGGGAUGACAAGACCCAGAGAGACAGGGAACAGGGAUGAAACAGGGAGACCCAAGAACAGAUUUUAAAAAGCAACUGCCAUAGAGGAACAGAGACACCAGUAGGGGAUGGAGGGGUAGUUUGGGGACAUGCAGGAACAGACAAAAACAAACAACCAGAAAGUGGCAAAAGAGUCAGAGAGAAGGGAACAAAAGCAGCGAAAGUGUUAACCAGAGACAGACACGGACAAAGAGACAAGGGAGAGAUACAGAGAGGAGAGAGAGAGCAAAACAAAUCAAAAAGAGAGAUGGAAGACAGAAGGGAACCCGGACGGGCUCUGAGAGCAGCGGGAGAAGAGGGAGAGCAGGAAGGGCCCCAAAUAGACUGAGGGAAGAGUGGGGACGCGGCAGACAGGCUGGGCAGGAUGGACAGAUGGAUGGAGGGACCGCGGCAAUGCCGAGCACCGCGCCCGACACGAGCGCGGGAGGCCGCUCGCCAGGCUGCGGGCCCGGAGGGUGUGAGCGCAGAGCCCGCGGGCCGGGCGGGGCACCGAGGCGCGGGCGGCGGCGGCGGGCAGGGGGGUCCGCGCGGGGCUGCGCCGCUGUCCGGGGUAAUUUUUCAUCUCGGCCGGCUAAUCUUUGUUCCCGGCGAAGAUAAUGAAUAGCCAAUCGUUAUCUGCCCGGCUCCCGGAGGCUGCCCGAGAAUGGGGUUGUACAGGGCUGGGAAUUGUUUCCAAAGUGCCGCGGAAUAAAUGGUGUUCCUUAUCUCUGCCUUCCAGAUUAUCGGAGCCCUUU
This is a long non-coding RNA of Mirounga angustirostris (Northern elephant seal), 6816 nucleotides long. RefSeq lists it as uncharacterized. Lineage: Eukaryota; Metazoa; Chordata; Mammalia; Carnivora; Phocidae. The record is from RefSeq and is a predicted model, not a curated record. The transcript has 2 exons.